UGGGGAAUUUUGCACAAUGGGGGAAACCCUGAUGCAGCGACGCCGCGUGAUUUAGAAGGCCUUCGGGUUGUAAAAAUCUUUUUUACGGGAUGAAAAUGACAGUACCGUAAGAAUAAGGUCCGGCUAAAUACGUGCCAGCAGCCGCGGUAAUACGUAUGGACCGAGCGUUGUCCGGAAUCAUUGGGCGUAAAGGGUACGUAGGCGGCCUAGUAAGUUAGAAGUGAAAUAAUAUAGCGCAACUAUAUAAAGCUUUUAAAACUGCUAGGCUUGAGAGAUGGAAGGGAAAGUGGAAUUCCUAGUGUAGCGGUGAAAUGCGCAGAUAUUAGGAAGAAUACCGGUGGCGAAGGCGACUUUCUGGUCAUCAUCUGACGCUGAGGUACGAAAGAGUGGGUAGCAACCAGG
RNAcentral lists this ribosomal RNA (402 nucleotides) under bacterium. Its description in RNAcentral is "partial 16S ribosomal RNA". It matches the Rfam family "Bacterial small subunit ribosomal RNA", at positions 355 to 776 of the family's 1533-position model. The record is from RNAcentral.